CCUCCUUAAAAAAUAAUCGCUUAGGAUAGGCGUUCACACGAAUAACUUGCUUUUACCUAAAUCAUUUCUUUACAGAUUUGAGAUUAAGGAGCGUUCUUUAACAUUUUUAUAAGUUCAAUCAAGUCACAUCAUAGUGUCUUAGUUUUUUAAUUUAGAUAUGAAUGAUGUGCAAAUGUCACCAAACCCGUCAUGUUUUAGAACAUAAGUUUGGUGUACAUACUGCAAAGUAAUUUUGGCGAAUGACAAUAGAUACUUGAAGAACAUUAAUCAUUAAGUUGUUUGAUGUAAUAUGGUCAAGUAAUUAAGCGCAUACGGUGGAUGCCUUGGCAGCUAGAGGCGAUGAAGGACGUAGUAACUUGCGAUAAGCUUCGGGGAGCCGGUAAACAGGCUUUGAUCCGAAGAUUUCCGA
This 409-nucleotide unclassified non-coding RNA is filed under the name uncultured Gammaproteobacteria bacterium. RNAcentral's name for it is "partial 16S-23S ribosomal RNA intergenic spacer". The stretch from base 292 to 409 matches the Rfam family "Bacterial large subunit ribosomal RNA", at positions 1 to 117 of the family's 2925-position model. Lineage: Bacteria; Pseudomonadati; Pseudomonadota; Gammaproteobacteria. RNAcentral also lists the same sequence under 1 other name. The record is from RNAcentral.